GAUGAACGCUAGCUACAGGCUUAACACAUGCAAGUCGAGGGGAAACGACAUCGAAAGCUUGCUUUUGAUGGGCGUCGACCGGCGCACGGGUGAGUAACGCGUAUCCAACCUGCCCACCACUUGGGGAUAACCUUGCGAAAGUAAGACUAAUACCCAAUGACGUCUCUAGAAGACAUCUGAAAGGGAUUAAAGAUUUAUCGGUGAUGGAUGGGGAUGCGUCUGAUUAGCUUGUUGGCGGGGUAACGGCCCACCAAGGCGACGAUCAGUAGGGGUUCUGAGAGGAAGGUCCCCCACAUUGGAACUGAGACACGGUCCAAACUCCUACGGGAGGCAGCAGUGAGGAAUAUUGGUCAAUGGGCGAGAGCCUGAACCAGCCAAGUAGCGUGCAGGAUGACGGCCCUAUGGGUUGUAAACUGCUUUUAUAAGGGAAUAAAGUGAGAGUCGUGACUCUUUUUGCAUGUACCUUAUGAAUAAGGACCGGCUAAUUCCGUG
RNAcentral lists this ribosomal RNA (492 nucleotides) under uncultured bacterium. RNAcentral describes it as "bacterial SSU rRNA". It matches the Rfam family "Bacterial small subunit ribosomal RNA", at positions 28 to 507 of the family's 1533-position model. The record is from RNAcentral.